AUAAUGAACAAAGAUACAGAGUAUGACAAUUGGGAUUAUUACAGUUGAGCCAAGCUUGGCACACCGUUCAUCUAGAAUUCUCCAGAACACAAAAUUCUCAAAUUUUGUGUUUCCUUUGACUAGUAUUGCAGUUUCAGUUAUAUUUCAGAGUGGAAUAUACAACUAAUUAGGUCAUCGAAGAUUCUGUCAUCUCGAUGAUAAAUUUUAAUAUUACAGAGCAGAGGAUGAGGAUGCAACACAUCUUGAAGAUAACGAAUGUGAUAUCAAAUUGGCAGGGGAUAGUUUCAUAGUAAGUUCUGAAUUCCCUGUAAGACUGAGUGUAUACUUAGAAGAAGAGGAUAUUACUGAAGAAGCUGCUUUGUCUAAAAAGAGAGCUACAAAAGCCAAAAAUACUGGACAGAGAGGCCUGAAAAUGUGACAGGAUCAUGAAUGUCAAAGGUGAAGCAUAUAGAAAAAACGACUUCAUAGAAAUGAAUAAAGAUAAAUGUGGAUAUAUGUACCAGUCUGGUGGUGAAGAAAUUCUGAAACCCAGAACUUUAUAACAAGAAAAAAAAUUUUUAACCCUGUGAAGAAGUUUGUGAAAGAAACUUGUGAAGUAGUAAUAAUUAGAAAAAAAACCAUUAAAACACCAGAGAAAAUACAUAGAAAAAUUUGAGAAAUUGUC
Molecule: long non-coding RNA, 664 nt
Filed under: Homo sapiens (human)
Lineage: Eukaryota; Metazoa; Chordata; Mammalia; Primates; Hominidae
Description: non-protein coding lnc-VSTM5-1:6
Source: RNAcentral